Molecule: long non-coding RNA, 881 nt
Organism: Cygnus olor (mute swan)
Lineage: Eukaryota; Metazoa; Chordata; Aves; Anseriformes; Anatidae
Exons: 3
Source: RefSeq, a predicted model, not a curated record
AAUCAUAAUUCUUGUCCUGGGACAUUAGUAAAAUUUUUCCACAGUUUGUCAUCCCCCACUGAGUCUCUGUUAGGAAGUAUAGGAAGGCGACAUUGUCAAGGACCCAUCAUAUUCCUUCCUCACUACCUGGGAAGCAAAAGCAUGUUCACCCUUUUUCUGUGGAUGGAAAAGUUGUGCCAAAGGGGAACAUUUGCAGCAAGUGCAAGAGAACAGCUUGUGUAACAUAGCUACUUCCAGCUGAGACAAGUUCAAUGGGGUUCCUACCACCCGGAGAGGUGCAAAGAUCCCUUUCUGUUCCUCUGCAACAGCUGCUUUCUGCAAAUGCCAAGGAGUUCCAGGUUGCAGAUAGCAAUAUAUGUGGUGAGCCAUACCAGCAGAUGACAUAUAUGCUUGAAGUCCUCCUUAAGCACCUAGUUUCUAUUUAGCCAGCACCUUCUAUCCAUUCCACAUCUUGCUUUCUAGGUUGUUUUCUGGGAAGAUAAAUGGGGUAAGCAUUUCUGCUCCUGAUGCUGCAAAACUCAAUCACAGACGGAAGCUAAUAUAAGAGAGUAAGGCAGAAGUUAAAUAUAGGUUGAAGAAAAACAAAGAAAACAGAGAUGUAAGUAUUUGCCCUUUAAACCUCAGCACAUGUAUAUGUGGUUAAUUAUUAAUUAUUGAUAUGGUUUAUUGAUGUAUUGAUGUAUUGAUUUGUGCCACCUGGAGGACAGAUCCCAUUGUUCUGAACAAUGUAUAAACCCAUGGCUGUACCUGAAGAGUUUGCAGAGAUUUUCCAAGGAGAAGAGCAGAUGCUGGAACACUGACAAAUUUGAAUGCUUAGAGUAUCUGAGUUUUCCCUCCACACUAUGAGCAGAAUAAAAAAAAAAAAAAAUCAAGCUUUUGAA